GCCGGGCGCGGUGGCUCACGCCUGUAAUCCCAGCACUUCGGGAGGCUGAGGCGGGUGGAUCACCUGAGGUCAGGAGUUUUAGACCAGCCUGACCAACAUGGAGAAACCCCGUCUCUA
RNAcentral lists this non-coding RNA (117 nucleotides) under Chlorocebus sabaeus (green monkey). The record is from Rfam by way of RNAcentral. Lineage: Eukaryota; Metazoa; Chordata; Mammalia; Primates; Cercopithecidae.